GUGUUUGCUUCAACACACAUAACCAAAAUUGGAACAGUGCGGAGAUGAUUAGCAUUGCCCUGCACAGGAGGACACUCACGACUGUGAAGCAUUCCACAUUUUU
This 103-nucleotide small nuclear RNA is filed under the name Peromyscus maniculatus bairdii (prairie deer mouse). Lineage: Eukaryota; Metazoa; Chordata; Mammalia; Rodentia; Cricetidae. The record is from RNAcentral.